UACGUAGGGUGCAAGCGUUGUCCGGAAUUAUUGGGCGUAAAGGGCUCGUAGGCGGUUUGUCACGUCGGGAGUGAAAACUCAGGGCUUAACCCUGAGCCUGCUUCCGAUACGGGCAGACUAGAGGUAUGCAGGGGAGAACGGAAUUCCUGGUGUAGCGGUGAAAUGCGCAGAUAUCAGGAGGAACACCGGUGGCGAAGGCGGUUCUCUGGGCAUUACCUGACGCUGAGGAGCGAAAGCGUGGGGAGCAAACAGG
RNAcentral lists this ribosomal RNA (253 nucleotides) under uncultured bacterium. Its description in RNAcentral is "partial 16S ribosomal RNA". It matches the Rfam family "Bacterial small subunit ribosomal RNA", at positions 524 to 776 of the family's 1533-position model. The record is from RNAcentral.